UGGGGAAUAUUGCACAAUGGGCGGAAGCCUGAUGCAGCGACGCCGCGUGGGGGAUGAAGGCCUUCGGGUUGUAAACUCCUUUCGACAGGGACGAAGCUUUUGUGACGGUACCUGUAUAAGAAGCACCGGCUAACUACGUGCCAGCAGCCGCGGUAAUACGUAGGGUGCGAGCGUUGUCCGGAAUUACUGGGCGUAAAGAGCUCGUAGGUGGUUUGUCGCGUCGUCUGUGAAAUUCCGGGGCUUAACUCCGGGCGUGCAGGCGAUACGGGCUGGCUUGAGUGCUGUAGGGGAGACUGGAAUUCCUGGUGUAGCGGUGAAAUGCGCAGAUAUCAGGAGGAACACCGAUGGCGAAGGCAGGUCUCUGGGCAGUAACUGACGCUGAGGAGCGAAAGCAUGGGUAGCGAACAGG
Molecule: ribosomal RNA, 409 nt
Filed under: Actinomycetes bacterium
Lineage: Bacteria; Bacillati; Actinomycetota; Actinomycetes
Description: Actinobacteria bacterium partial 16S ribosomal RNA
Rfam family: Bacterial small subunit ribosomal RNA
Source: RNAcentral